UUUAUAUUUGGUGAGCUGUGUCCAAAAGUCAGUGUUUACUGUGGUUGCUAGUUAUUGCUUCUGGUAGAUAUCUGCAAUAGAACUGGUAAUAAUGUGUCGAAGAGUAGAUUGUCCAAAAUGUGGAAAACCCACCUGGGAAGGUUGUGGUAAGCAUAUUGAACAAGCUUUAAAUGGUGUAGCACAGGAAGAUCGUUGUCCGUGCCCAAGAGAUAAAAAAUGAUAGGCCUACCAGACCAGAUUUAAUGUUUCAGUUUUCCUAGUGAUAUUCUGACUGUUGCCGUUGUUACUGUAGUGUGUUCAAAUGAAAUGUUUAAAAAGUCAGGUGGAAAUACUAAUUCCAUUCUAAGCAUAUCAUUAUAUUAUUGUUCCACUGGACAAUGACAUUAUUUUAUGUCCUAUGUCCAUAAAAUAAAUGCACAAAAUAGUUUA
Molecule: long non-coding RNA, 429 nt
Organism: Patella vulgata (common limpet)
Lineage: Eukaryota; Metazoa; Mollusca; Gastropoda; Patellidae
Exons: 2
Source: RefSeq, a predicted model, not a curated record